This 900-nucleotide ribosomal RNA is filed under the name Spirosphaera cf. beverwijkiana. RNAcentral describes it as "partial large subunit ribosomal RNA". It matches the Rfam family "Eukaryotic large subunit ribosomal RNA", at positions 37 to 954 of the family's 3401-position model. The record is from RNAcentral. Lineage: Eukaryota; Fungi; Ascomycota; Leotiomycetes; Helotiales.
AGCAUAUCAAUAAGCGGAGGAAAAGAAACCAACAGGGAUUACCUCAGUAACGGCGAGUGAAGCGGUAACAGCUCAAAUUUGAAAUCUGGCUCUUUCAGGGCCCGAGUUGUAAUUUGUAGAAGAUGCUUUGGGCGUGGCUCCGGUCUAAGUUCCUUGGAACAGGACGUCAUAGAGGGUGAGAAUCCCGUACGUGACUGGGUGCCUUCGUCCGUGUAAAGCUCUUUCGACGAGUCGAGUUGUUUGGGAAUGCAGCUCAAAAUGGGUGGUAAAUUUCAUCUAAAGCUAAAUAUUGGCCAGAGACCGAUAGCGCACAAGUAGAGUGAUCGAAAGAUGAAAAGCACUUUGGAAAGAGAGUUAAACAGUACGUGAAAUUGUUGAAAGGGAAGCGCUUGCAAUCAGACUUGCGUGCGGUUGAUCAUCCGAGCUUCUGCCCGGUGCACUCAAUCGUACUCAGGCCAGCAUCGGUUUGGGCGGUUGGAUAAAGGCCUUGGGAAUGUGGCUCCUCUCGGGGAGUGUUAUAGCCCUCGGUGCAAUGCAGCCUGUCCGGACCGAGGACCGCGCUUCGGCUAGGAUGCUGGCGUAAUGGUUGUAAGCGACCCGUCUUGAAACACGGACCAAGGAGUCUAACAUCUAUGCGAGUGUUUGGGUGUCAAACCCAUACGCGUAAUGAAAGUGAACGGAGGUGAGAACCCUUAAGGGUGCAUCAUCGACCGAUCCUGAUGUCUUCGGAUGGAUUUGAGUAAGAGCAUAGCUGUUGGGACCCGAAAGAUGGUGAACUAUGCCUGAAUAGGGUGAAGCCAGAGGAAACUCUGGUGGAGGCUCGCAGCGGUUCUGACGUGCAAAUCGAUCGUCAAAUUUGGGUAUAGGGGCGAAAGACUAAUCGAACCAUCUAGUAGCUGG